GAUGAACGCUGGCGGCGUGCUUAACACAUGCAAGUCGAACGGUGAAGGCGGAGCUUGCUCUGCUGGAUCAGUGGCGAACGGGUGAGUAACACGUGUGCAAUCUGCCCCUGACUCUGGGAUAAGCGCUGGAAACGGCGUCUAAUACUGGAUACGAGCUGCGAAGGCAUCUUCAGCAGCUGGAAAGAACUUCGGUCAGGGAUGAGCUCGCGGCCUAUCAGCUUGUUGGUGAGGUAACGGCUCACCAAGGCGUCGACGGGUAGCCGGCCUGAGAGGGUGACCGGCCACACUGGGACUGAGACACGGCCCAGACUCCUACGGGAGGCAGCAGUGGGGAAUAUUGCACAAUGGGCGAAAGCCUGAUGCAGCAACGCCGCGUGAGGGACGACGGCCUUCGGGUUGUAAACCUCUUUUAGCAGGGAAGAAGCGAAAGUGACGGUACCUGCAGAAAAAGCGCCGGCUAACUACGUG
RNAcentral lists this ribosomal RNA (468 nucleotides) under uncultured bacterium. RNAcentral's name for it is "partial 16S ribosomal RNA". It matches the Rfam family "Bacterial small subunit ribosomal RNA", at positions 28 to 507 of the family's 1533-position model. The record is from RNAcentral.